This 542-nucleotide ribosomal RNA is filed under the name uncultured bacterium. RNAcentral's name for it is "bacterial SSU rRNA". It matches the Rfam family "Bacterial small subunit ribosomal RNA", at positions 777 to 1319 of the family's 1533-position model. The record is from RNAcentral.
AAUAGAUACCCCGGUAGUCCACGCCGUAAACGUUGGAUACUAGGUGUGGCGGUCUUACCAACAACUGCCGUGCCGAAGCUAACGCAUUAAGUAUCCCGCCUGGGGAGUACGGCCGCAAGGCUAAAACUCAAAGGAAUUGACGGGUCCCCGCACAAGCGGCGGAGCAUGCGGCUUAAUUCGAUGCAACCCGAAGAACCUUACCUGGGUUUGACAUCACGGGAAAAGCUGUAGAAAUACAGUGUCCAUUAGGGCCCGUGACAGGUGGUGCAUGGCUGUCGUCAGCUCGUGUCGUGAGAUGUUGGGUUAAGUCCCGCAACGAGCGCAACCCUUGUCCUAUGUUGCCAGCGGUUCGGCCGGGGACUCAUAGGAGACUGCCGGGGAUAACUCGGAGGAAGGUGAGGACGACGUCAAGUCAUCAUGCCCCUUAUAUCCAGGGCUGCACGCAUGCUACAAUGGCCGGUACAACGGGCAGCGAUCCCGCGAGGGUGAGCGAAUCCUAAAAAGCCGGUCCUAGUUCGGAUUGAAGUCUGCAACUCGACUUC